GUGGGGAAUCUUCCGCAAUGGACGAAAGUCUGACGGAGCAACGCCGCGUGAGUGAAGAAGGUUUUCGGAUCGUAAAGCUCUUUCGUUAGGGACGAACGUGCUCUUUGUGAAUAAUGAGGAGUAAUGACGGUACCUAAAUAAGAAGCCACGGCUAACUACGUGCCAGCAGCCGCGGUAAUACGUAGGUGGCAAGCGUUGUCCGGAAUUAUUGGGCGUAAAGCGCGCGCAGGCGGGAUAUCAAGUCUGUCAUAAAAGUGCGAGGCUCAACCUCGUGAGGGGACAGAAACUGGUAUUCUUGAGUGUCGGAGAGAAAAGUGGAAUUCCAAGUGUAGCGGUGAAAUGCGUAGAGAUUUGGAAGAACACCAGUGGCGAAGGCGACUUUCUGGACGAUGUCUGACGCUGAGGCGCGAAAGCUAGGGGAGCGAACGGGAUUAGAUACCCGUGUAGUCC
Molecule: ribosomal RNA, 450 nt
Filed under: uncultured bacterium
Lineage: Bacteria
Description: partial 16S ribosomal RNA
Rfam family: Bacterial small subunit ribosomal RNA
Source: RNAcentral